This is a long non-coding RNA of Onychomys torridus (southern grasshopper mouse), 705 nucleotides long. RefSeq lists it as uncharacterized. The record is from RefSeq and is a predicted model, not a curated record. Lineage: Eukaryota; Metazoa; Chordata; Mammalia; Rodentia; Cricetidae. The transcript has 3 exons.
UGUUGGUCCUCCCACAGACACCACCUGCAAAGGGAAGGGCCCUCGGCUCCCACGGCCCCGCCUGCUUCCAGCCCAGUGGCCGACCACAGUGCCAGCUAUUUCUAGCUUCCCUCCCUGAGAAGGAAUAGGUUGGACUCCUGCACACAGAAAAGAAACAAGAAGAUCAGAUCUUUACAACCACGGCAUUAGGAUCAACAAAGAGAAGCAAUUCCCACUCAGUUCUGGUUCCUAUUUGGCUUCCCUGAGCCCUGAGGGGAGGGGUGUGAUGGAGACCUCCAUUUAGGGCCUGCCCCUGUCUAAAGGCUGGAUUACAGGCAUCACUACCACCGAUCUACUAAGACUGAAGUUUACUAAGCUGGUUUACAUCGAUUUUCUGUUGUGAACACCUUACACGCACCUGAAUUCCAGGUCCACAGCUGAUAUGCUUCAGGGGCACACUGCACAGGAUAAGUGUGAACAGGACAGCCAGGAGGCAAGAGACUAAGAGGCAGUCUAGACUGUUCCCGCGCCUUCAAAGACUUCUCUGCCCUCUACAUGGAAAUUGGGGAAAAGGUGGUUUGAUAUCAUCCUGAGAACACACCUGGCACAGUCUGAAGCAUCUCCAAACACAACCAGAUAGCUGAAGACCUUGGCCCCUUCCUUCUUGAAAAAUACUUAUGUAUAUGUGGUUGGCUGUUUUGUUUUGAACUAAGAUCUUACUUUGUA